Non-coding RNA from Cariama cristata (Red-legged seriema), 72 nucleotides. NCBI's taxonomy places the organism in Eukaryota, Metazoa, Chordata, Aves, Cariamiformes, Cariamidae. The record is from Rfam.
UCCCUGAUGGUCUAGUGGUUAUGAUUCAGCGUUCUCACCGCUGCGGCCCGGGUUCGAUUCCCGGUCAGGGAA